AAAGGAGUAGGUUCAGUAAGACACCUUUUUGGCCCCAAAAUAUAGCAGUUUUACAAAUUGUUAAAAUGUAUACUUUUAGUUAUUUAUUGGACAGUAGAAUGCUUCUGCUAAAUAAAUAUGGGCUGUGUUUGACAAUACAAUGCUCAUAUAUCGGGUACUAGCAUCAUUAAGUCAUGCUAAAUUACUGAAAUCCUCACAAUUUUAGCAUUUUAGUUUAUG
RNAcentral lists this long non-coding RNA (219 nucleotides) under Mytilus galloprovincialis (Mediterranean mussel). The record is from RNAcentral. Lineage: Eukaryota; Metazoa; Mollusca; Bivalvia; Mytilida; Mytilidae.